GUGGCUUCGUGGUCGUUGCUCUAAUGAGCGU
Molecule: small RNA, 31 nt
Filed under: Bombyx mori (domestic silkworm)
Lineage: Eukaryota; Metazoa; Arthropoda; Insecta; Lepidoptera; Bombycidae
Description: ovarian small RNA-17922
Source: RNAcentral